GAUGAACGCUGGCGGCGUGCCUAAUACAUGCAAGUCGAGCGAACGGACGAUAAUCUUGCUUCUCUGAUGUUAGCGGCGGACGUGUGUGUAACACGUGUAUAACCUACCUAUAAUACUGGUAUAACUUCGGGAAACCGGAUCUUAUACCGUAUAAUAUUUUGAACCGCAUGGUUCAAAAGUGAAUUACGGUCUUUCUGUCUCUUCUAGAUGGUUCCGGGCUGCAUUAGCUAGUUGUUAAGGUAACGGCUUAACAAGGCAACGAUGCAUAGCCGACGUGAGAGGGGGAUCGGCCACACUGGAAGUGAGACACGGACAAGAGGACUACGGGAGGGAGCAGUAGGGAAUGUGACGCAAUGGGCGAAAGCAUGACGGAGCAAGGGCGAGUGAGAGAUGAAGGUCUUCGGAUCGUAAAACUGUGUUAUUAGGGAAGAACAUAUGUGUAAGGAAAUGUGCACAGAGUGACGGUAACUAAUCAGAAAGCAACGGCUAACUACGUG
This 497-nucleotide ribosomal RNA is filed under the name uncultured bacterium. RNAcentral describes it as "partial 16S ribosomal RNA". It matches the Rfam family "Bacterial small subunit ribosomal RNA", at positions 28 to 507 of the family's 1533-position model. The record is from RNAcentral.